AGAAGAGACAUGUGAAACACAAAUUAAAAAUGUAUUUCAUGAAAACUAGCUUGAAACUAUAAUUUAUACCUUCAGCCUCACAGUCAAUUCUAAUGAAAUUGUAUCAGAAAAAUAAAUUUUGAAUUUCAAAUGCAAUGACAAACAAUAGGCCAAUAAACAAGAUGAUAGGCAUGCAACUAAUAAGUACCAAAUGAAUGAGAGAAAAGAAAAUUUGAGGAAUCUUGUCAGGUCAUCAUUUAUAUAAGAUUUUAAUUGCCAAGUGAAAAUGGUAGUCUUAGAACUCGGAAUUUCCAUGACUAAAACAUAUCCAAUUUAAUUUUAAAUAAAUGUUUAAUACCCUCUAACUAACAUAUUUAAGAAGGUACUUUUCCCAACAAUAGCUCCAACAACCAUGCCAACCACACCCUAAGUUUAUUUUAUCAUGUCUUGAAAAGAGGAAGCUGAUGGAAUCAAAACUCAAGGAUAACAAGUUUCAACUCCUAAGUUGCUAAGACCAUAUCUAAAUAUUGUAAAAGAUUGCAAGUUCCUCAAAUAAGUUUUGCCAAGUUCUCACACAAUAUAUCAAGUUCUCAACAUCAUGUCAUAUCUUUUUUUUGUCAAGUGCCAUUAAAGGAACUUCUUUUAGGAAAUGGCAGUAAAAUGUAUAUGCCAUUAAACCAUAAAUAAAUUAACUCAACUAAGUUAUUCUCAAUCAAAAUACUGCAAUUGCCAUAGUUAUUAAUGGCUCAAGGCACACUAAGGCGCCA
This 746-nucleotide unclassified non-coding RNA is filed under the name Hevea brasiliensis (rubber tree). Lineage: Eukaryota; Viridiplantae; Streptophyta; Magnoliopsida; Malpighiales; Euphorbiaceae. The record is from RNAcentral.